UACCAGCACCCCGAGUGGUCGGGACGAUUAUUGGGCCUAAAGCAUCCGUAGCCGGUACUGCAAGUCUUCCGUUAAAUCCACCUGCCUAACAGUUGGGCUGCGGGGGAUACUACAGCGCUAGGAGGCGGGAGAGGCAAGCGGUACUCAAUGGGUAGGGGUAAAAUCCAUUGAUCUACUGAAGACCACCAGUGGCGAAGGCGGUUUGCCAGAACGCGCUCGACGGUGAGGGAUGAAAGCUGGGGGAGCAAACCGG
This 253-nucleotide ribosomal RNA is filed under the name uncultured bacterium. RNAcentral's name for it is "partial 16S ribosomal RNA". It matches the Rfam family "Archaeal small subunit ribosomal RNA", at positions 474 to 727 of the family's 1478-position model. The record is from RNAcentral.